GAUGAACGCUGGCGAUAGGCUUAACACAUGCAAGUCGAGCGGCAGCACGGUCUUAGCUUGCUAUGGCUGAUGGCGACCGGCGCACGGGUGCGUAACGCGUAUGCAACUUGCCUCACAGAGGGGGUUAACCCGUCGAAACUCGGACUAAUACCGCGUACACUCUAUGUUGGGCAUCCAAUGUAGAGGCAAUGAAAUUCGCUGUGAGAUAGGCAUGCGUCCUAUUUGCUAGUUGGUGAGGUAACGGCUCACCAAGGCGACGAUGGGUAGGGGAACGGAGAGGUUGAACCCCGAGACGGGGACUGAGACACGGACCAGACUGCUACGGGAGGGAGCAGUAAGGAAGACAGGUGAAGGGGGGAGAGCCUGAACCAGCCAAGUCGGGUGAAGGAUGACUGUGUUAGGGAUGGUAAACUUCUGUUAUACAAGAAUAACAAGAGUAACGGGUGGCUGCCUGAAGGUACCGUAUGAAUAAGCAUCGGCUAACUCCGUG
Molecule: ribosomal RNA, 490 nt
Filed under: uncultured bacterium
Lineage: Bacteria
Description: partial 16S ribosomal RNA
Rfam family: Bacterial small subunit ribosomal RNA
Source: RNAcentral